RNAcentral lists this transfer RNA (85 nucleotides) under Felis catus (domestic cat). It matches the Rfam family "tRNA". Rfam says of the family: Transfer RNA (tRNA) molecules are approximately 80 nucleotides in length. Their secondary structure includes four short double-helical elements and three loops (D, anti-codon, and T loops). RNAcentral also lists the same sequence under 1 other name. The record is from Rfam by way of RNAcentral. Lineage: Eukaryota; Metazoa; Chordata; Mammalia; Carnivora; Felidae.
GCCUGGGUGGCUCAGUCCGUUAAGCGCCUGACUUCGGCUCAGGUCAUGAUCUCACAGUCCGUGAGUUCGAGCCCCACAUCAGGCU